AUACGGAGAGUGCAAGCGUUGUUCGGAAUUACUGGGCUUAAAGCGCAUGUAGGCGGGAUAUCAAGUGUCGGGUGAAAUCCCCGGGCUCAACCCGGGAAUUGCGCGGCAAACCGGUAUUCUUGAGGCAGGUAGAGGUGACUGGAACGACUGGUGGAGCGGUGAAAUGCGUAGAUAUCAGUUGGAACGCCGGAGGCGAAAGCGAGUCACUGGGCCUGUCCUGACGCUGAGGCGCGAAAGCGUGGGGAGCAAACAGGAUUAGAAACCCCAGUAGUCC
This 274-nucleotide ribosomal RNA is filed under the name uncultured bacterium. Its description in RNAcentral is "partial 16S ribosomal RNA". It matches the Rfam family "Bacterial small subunit ribosomal RNA", at positions 523 to 796 of the family's 1533-position model. The record is from RNAcentral.